This 76-nucleotide ribosomal RNA is filed under the name Paratlanticus ussuriensis. RNAcentral describes it as "partial 18S ribosomal RNA". The record is from RNAcentral. Lineage: Eukaryota; Metazoa; Arthropoda; Insecta; Orthoptera; Tettigoniidae.
CUGCCCCGGGUUUUUUUUUAUAUAUAAUAAAAAAAAAUAUACUAAAGUUCGGUAGGUGACCUGCGGAAGGAUCAUU